This is a long non-coding RNA of Hyaena hyaena (striped hyena), 580 nucleotides long. RefSeq lists it as uncharacterized. NCBI's taxonomy places the organism in Eukaryota, Metazoa, Chordata, Mammalia, Carnivora, Hyaenidae. The transcript is spliced from 3 exons. The record is from RefSeq and is a predicted model, not a curated record.
UGUGACUGUUUGGGAUCCUCAUCUUGUACUUGGUACCCAAGGUUUUUGCUGAUUCUCAUGGCAACUGAACCUUGGCAUUAACAUGGCCUUUAAUAUUUUUAUUGAUAUUUUCCAAUUUGCUUGUAAGAUGGCUGCUUGCUACUUUCUCCCUUACCUUGGCAAAUGUGAAGAGUACAUCUCCUUCUCUGGAAGUCAGGGAUUUUGGUUGUCUUCUGAUCCACUGUCAGCUGAAUAUAUAUAUUAGUUCUGGGUUUUUUUCCCUCUGAUUUUAUUAAUUUGAUUAUGGUGUAUCUUCAUGUGGUUUUCUUCAUGUUCCUUCUGCCUGAGUACUUAGAAUGGUUCUUAAAAGUGGAAGCUGGAAACAGAAAAGUCAGUGUCAGGGUGAUGCAGGGUAGAAAAGACUGGACUGAACAUCGCUGGCUUUCAAGCUGAAAGGGACCACCAGCCAAGGAAUGCAGUGAAUUCUGAAUGUAUUUGCUGAAUGCAAAUUUUGUGUCUUCAGUCAAUUUGAAAUGAAAUUAGUAUACGUAUUUUGGAAAUCCUGGGGGAGAAGAUGGGAGAGAGUAAGGAGAAACGCAUC